RNAcentral lists this long non-coding RNA (223 nucleotides) under Ananas comosus (pineapple). Its description in RNAcentral is "long non-coding RNA (ACOM_LNC004364)". The record is from RNAcentral. Lineage: Eukaryota; Viridiplantae; Streptophyta; Magnoliopsida; Poales; Bromeliaceae.
AGCGUUGCUAAAGUGUUGAUUAAGUACUCUCAACUGUAGGCUAGAUGAUCCUAGUUCAAGUACUGUUUCCAACGAAAGUAACAAAUGAAAUUCAUAAUUUUCAACCAACUAUAGCAAACCAAAUAUAUGAUGGAAUUUAACAAUCGUUUCAAUUUAAUCAAUAAAAAAACUUAGAUUAGAAAGAUAAAUUAAAAAAAUAAAAGUAUGCCAAAUAAAAAAGUUG